AUGACCUACAGAGCCUUCCUCCUUCAUUUGGACAUGGUUACUGACCAGGGAUCACAGAAGACUACGCAGACUGCCUUGGAAUCGUGUGUGGCUGAAGAGGACAUGGUAAGGAGGUGUCUCAACAAAGUCAUUUACUGGAAAAAUUUGCAGGAUUAGAGCUUAUUCCCCACUUAUAGGAGUAAUCUUGCAUGGUAAGUUUUAUUAUAAGCAGGUAGAGGUUUGCAAGACUACAAAUAACUGUAAAUACAAUUUUGUAACAGAAAUUAUUUUUCACUAGCCUCAUCAGUAUUACUGUUAGCUCCUUCAUGUGUUGAAACUAGCCUUUUAUCUCAUUACAGUUACUAUUUCAAGUUAUUAUUUUUCUGUAUCUUAACACUGUUGCUAAGAACAAAAAAGAGAAAGACUCAGUGUAAAGAAUAAAACUCUCCGAGUGAGAAAAACAUGGGCAAGAUUCCUAGUUAAGAUAUUCCUGAUCAAUCCUGAUUUACCUGUGGAUUUACACAGGUGCAACAGAGAGCAGAAGUACAGCCAUUUAUUCAGCCCAGAUUCAGUCUUUUUACGGGCAAGAAAGGCAAUAUACUUACUUUGGGUCGAGUGUCAACAACAUAUAGGAAAUCACUUCCUGGGUUUGCUUUUCGGAUGGCCUGGAGCAUCUGUUCAUCCUCAAGACAUCGAGCACUAAAGCCAGAUAAAGGCUGGCUGCUCCUACAUAUGGAGGCCUGCAGGAAAAGAAGAAGAAAUAAAUAAAUUAGUAUACUUAUUAAGCAGAAAUGAUUUAGGAUCCAGAAGCAUUUACAAAAGCAGCUUAUUAGACUGUUCACCAUACGUGUACAGUUGCAUGGAAAUGGUAAAAUGAAUUGCAUGUUACUAAAUAAGUUAUUUUUAGAAAGACAAGGGAAUAUUAUGGCAAUAAUACCCCAGUGCCCAGGUCUAAUUUUGAAUCCAACUUUUAGAGCUAUUUUAAAUAUAGACUUUUCCCUCGUGGAGAAUAUCUCCUGAAAGGUGGUCUCUAGAGAACGAUGAGUACAGCACUACAAUCACAAGAGCACUGAUGUAGCAUAAGGAAUGGAUCCCUCUGCACGGUCACUCAUGCUUCAGUUACGAUACCAGUUACACCCAACUUACACCAAUACACACUCUACUAAACAGCCUUAGACAUCAUGAGUCCAGGAAGCAAAAAUGCAUACUGUGCGGCCAGAUCAGUGAUGCUGCUGUAUUUUUAGCACUGCCUCUGGAGAAAGACCUCACAACAUGGGAAGUGGGUCAGGCAGCCUGGCUCCUGGAGCACAUUUAUUAGCCAGAGCUGUUGAAGAAGGCAAAGGAGUUUCUCCCUAAACCCAUUAGGAACAGGCUGCUCAAUGAAACUGGGAAAGAAGGAACUGGAUGUGGAACAGGGAGGUUUUAUUUCCCUGUCACUGCUAGGCAGGGAGCAGCUAGGUUUGUAGGAGGCACAGGGCUAUUGCAUACACUUUCUAAGCACUGAAUGUAAGCAUGAAGAGAAUCUGUACUCUGAAGGUCGUGACCCACACAGACUGCCCUACAGAUUAUUUAUUACUGUGAGAGGGAACAUGCUUGUUUUCAGCCAAGUCUUUGAACUAUCAGGGGUUAGUAAAAUGGGUAUCUUUAAUACAUAAAUUCUGAAUCGUGUGAGAGCCUGUUCAGACACUAAAUGUUAUUUGCAACCAGAUUAUUAGUCAUUUAAUUUUGCCUGCUGAUCAGUGCAGUUCCCAGUGAUUUAAUAUAUGCUAACACCUCUUUUUCAUGAAGCAAAAGAUACUCAUGAAUAUGUUCACAACUUAUUAUUUUAAUAGAAGGAAGACAUUUCACUCUCAACCAUGGUGUGCCACACUUGAGGUAGAUAUGGACAUCAAGACUAAGGCUAAAGUUAGGGUUGUGGAUUAAGGUUCAGAUUGAGGAGUAGAGGGGCUGGAGCUCAUUAUGUUGUGGCACUCUGGGGGCUCAAGGGCUAAGAUAUGUGCUGCCACCAGAAGGAGAGAGCAGCUUGUCUGUCAAGCUAAGAUUGAGGUUAAGAUCAUGUUUAGCCUCAGCUUAUGAAACAGCUGCACUGACAGCAAUGCAAAACUAGAAAGAUAAAUUGACCUAGAUACCCAUUAGGUGUCAAGCAGGAAUCACUAUACGCUAUCUCCAUGAACAGCUUGCCUUCAGCUGACUCAGGCCAAAUGCUUAUGACGAGCCCAUACGUCUGUAACGUUUCUUGGGAUGUGGGGAGGGCAGGAGAUCAGGUCACUUUGUAUCGCACAGGCUGAACAAAUAGUUCCAGGGUUUGAUCUUAGCGUAGCCACAAUGAUCCUGUGAGACGCAGAGUAGUGUCGCAACAUCAUUUGAACUUGGGCGUACCAAAUUACCUACGGGACAGUAGUGGUUAUGAAAGACCUGAAUGAGUGGCAGCCACCCCCCUGCCAGCAGCAGACCUCUUCCCAGCCUGCUGUUACUCUAGUUGUUCAAUGCCUACCUUCACCAAUCUUACCCCACUUCUUUUCCUAGCCCUUUGAACCUUGCAGGUUCCAGGAGGGAACACAGUACUUCAGACGCUGGUGGUCUGAAAGUGAACCUUAGCCUUAAUCUGAACACCAGCUUAAAUGGGGAAAACAUCUAGGUAGAAAUUGGGGAAUACAUCCAAACUGGACAACUAUAUUGCAAUCCAACUGACCCCC
This 2675-nucleotide long non-coding RNA is filed under the name Anas platyrhynchos (mallard). RNAcentral describes it as "lncRNA (ENSAPLG00020006659.1)". The record is from RNAcentral. Lineage: Eukaryota; Metazoa; Chordata; Aves; Anseriformes; Anatidae.